CACCCCAGGCCAAUGACUACGAGAACAGCUAACGUUACUAUCUGAGGGAGAAGUGAAGAGAAGUCAGUUGACACACCACAUCUCGGCUAGCUCGACACCUUCGCCUCGGUACCUUAGCCGCCGCUCGCGGAAGGACUCCUCGCACUACCCCUUCGACAAGGUCCACGACCUCCUCAUGUUGUUCGUCUUCCCGGAGGCCGUCCUGUGGGAGAGGUAGGUCGUCCUGCAGGCGUACUAGCGGCGGCGGUACCUGCUGGCGGAGGUGCGGGACGCGUCCCCGCUCGUUGCGUGGCGGCAACGGUCCUAGAUGUCGCUCCUCUACGAACCGGACCACGUGCUGCGGGUCCUGACGUAGCUGGCGUAGCAGGUGGCGGAGUGGACGUCCGGGGCGCAACCGCCGCCGCCUCCGCCUCCUCCUCGCCGCGACUAGGCGGCCCAGCGGCGGCAGCGGGUGCUCGACUCCUUCCAGGUCUCAGCGAGCCCGAAGCGGCUGCUCUAGGCGGUCGAGUUCCGGGCGGAGUUCGACCGCGUGCUCGCGCAGGAGCCGUAGGGGUAGGGGGGGCGGCGGCGGUCGACGACGGUGCUCAAGCGCCGCCGCCGCGGCAGCACAGCAAAGCGCGCGUUGGGCCACCCGUAGCCCUCCGGGCACCUCCUAGAGGACAGCUACGACCUACUCCACCUCCCGCUCUUCCUCGUCGACUCCCACUAGAGGCACCACCCCAAGCCGCCGAACCCCUUCUGGUGGGAGCGCUCCCGACACAUGCUCCUGGGAGUGCGGCACCUCUUUAAGGUAACGGCACGAACCCAACGGCGGCCAGCCACCAGCGGUCUCCAGUGGCCGGUGCCCCAGCCACUCUAGGAUGCGCUACAUGAGGUCGUUCAAGCGGGGUUUCUGCGGUACCUGCAACAACGACUAUUACCGGUUGCAUAACUUCGGAACGAGUUCCUUAUGGAGUUCCUAUUCUCCAUAAAUUAACAGUAUCUACUGUACCCCUACCUCGUUACCUCGUGAUAUUUAAGGUAGAAGCUUUUGUUACCGUUUUCGUCGUCUUAGGAUGACUGGUGUUGAUAAGUCAGUUGUCGAUUAUAGACGUCGGUACCGUUACCAAUACACAUGGUUUACUUGUGUGAACCACUUCUCCUGAGGUUCUUUUAUCGAGAAGUCCUCCAUGCCAGUGGACUCGACCUCGUCCCCAGGUACGGCGACGACGUCUUUACGCCACCAGAAGGUGAACGAGAGCAGUCACAGAGGCUAAAGGACUUUACGAGUCCACUCGGAUGCCCCCUCGCUACGUGUCUCGAUACGGCAUUGGACCCAAGAGUAGACUCUCUCUUCGUACCGGUACUGUUAAAGCGUCUUGAUUCUUUCCACGACUACGUAUUGAUACUGUCAAACAGUCACAUACGAUACUGGACGAACGAUAUAGAACCACAUAAGGGAUUGUUAGCAGGGGAGUUCUCCUUUCAACAAUAGUCCUCCACCAAUCGCCUUCCUAUACGUGCCUCACUAAGAGAAGCGUCACUCCUCCUGUAACGCCUACUCUGAAAGUUCCGCGAACAGCUGGCCUUAUAGUAUGUCAGGUAACCGUGUUCCUUAUUACGCGUUCACUUCUGCACGUACUGAGUACCGUAGUACGUGCUCAAGCACGACGUGUUCAGGCACAGUGUCCCCAAGUAGCGCUGUAGCAGAGCACUAGUAGGUUCUGGGGUACGGAUACAAUUAUUACGGACGGUGGAAAGGUAGGUACCACCGUUACACUGUCUAUCACUCCGGAGACUGCUCCUAAAUAGAGCACAAGCCAGAGAUUGUCAGAAACCUUUUCGUCCACUACGAUAAAGAAUACAAGCAUUUACGUUUGACGAUGCUCAGAACCUAGACCUUCUUACGUCACUAGACCUUCUAUCAGUGGAGUUUGUGUAUCCGUUCGAUACCGUAGAUUUUAUAGAUUCACAACCCCCGUCAUAACGCUUCGAAGGCUCGUCGUAGCUACCUGACGUGACGAAUCUCUGGGACCUAAAUUCCUCUUGGUUCUAUUUCUGUCACGGGUAACUCCGGUAAUACGACAUGGUGAAUCGAGUAGACAAGCCUUUCAAAUGUCAACUGUUUCUUCUAGAUUUGUUACGUUUGUUCUACUCGUUUCGUUGCUUCAAGAACAGGCCUUUGUUCUCGUUGGACUUCUGAAAUCGACCUAAACAGUGUUUGCUUUCCGUUCCCAAAGAAGUUGAAUACCAAGUGUACUCUUUAGACUCUUUCCAGUUCUAUACCACACCCGGUCAACGUUUACCUUCAUUGAUGUGGUUACUAGAAAGGUUCCGGUAAGUCCUCAAGUGGUUCCAGGGGUACCUGUUACACCCACGGGCAAGAGAUAGUGAACUAAGUCUUCUUACAAGGCUUCUGAACGACUCAAGCGAACGAAAACUCGGUACGAGCCUCCUAAGGUUUAUACUACAUUCCAGUGACUUCGAUGCACCGUUCGAUGAGGUCAAUGGGGGCAAACAAGGGAACGACAGUCCAGAGUGACUUGACACAUAAAGUAGUCGAUGAGACUGUGCCCUAGAAGAUAGCAGAGACUAGUUAAACUCUUUGAACGAAAUGGAGUUCAACUAACGCUUACUCGAACUCUCUAAACUUUACUUUAGUCCCCGUAAGGGUUCGGACGCAGCAGACACGAAACAUCACGUUUCAGAGUGAAGUCGAGACGGUCGUUAGCUUGUUCCUCGAGACGGCUUGGAACAAAGUGAGGUCGACGAGACGGGCUCAGAUCAACCAGAAAGGCCGUAGGUUUAGUCUGUGGAGUCUGUAGAGUUCCUUCAGUACCAACUGAGACCUCACGGACUGGUUUGUGCUGUUCUGACCCUCGUUCGUUGUUUCUUGGUAGGCUUAUCCGGCUCUGAGUACAACGUGUUUUCACCACAAGCUCACCUUUCGCUCCCAGGCCCCUUACUUCUUCAAAGUCGACACUCCCUGUUCGCCUUUUAUACACAUCAGGUUGGUUCAAACCUACUACCUGACCUAAGAUCAGAGUUCUUCUACUCUGAAAGUAGUCUCAGAAGAAGCGCCGAAGUUCACUAACAGGUUAGUUGAAGGAGUAGACCAGUGACUCCGUCUGCCGUUACUACUAAGUCGCUUCGUUCGACGACGCCACUACUAAGUCGAACCUAUGGGUUUGGUCUCUGUACUAUUUACUGCUCGACGACAACAUAACAUGCCACACAUCAAAAUGAAGACCGCUGUUCAAAACAGAGGAAUAAAAGAACAGAUAUACGAGUACCAAAAGAUAACAAUGUUUCAAUUGGUACAACGUUUAACGUUCUAUUAGAAACAAAGGUACGGGUUAGGUGGAGAACGUUGACAUAUAAGUGUAGUACGUUCUUUGUCUCGUCCCGAUUUCGAUCGUGAUACAACCGACAAGAAGUCUUCGAUUGUUUGUCGGUCAACGACUAAUUCGGGAUACGGGUGGUGUGAUGGAAGUUUCGACGCGCCGGAACGCUGUCUCGAGUACUUACGGAAGUACUGAAGGUACCUCCGUAGAGAGACCUCGUUCGUGUACCGCAUGAGGUACUGACGCCGUAGCGUCCCGUCGUACUAGGAGGGCAGUAGCGGCGCACUUGAGGAGGACCCUGUAGGAGUCUUCGAGCGACUUCUAGCUACACGGCUCCAUACGGUCGCCGUGGAGCUUGGCGCGGGACAGCCGCCACAUGUGGUGUGUCACCGGGAAGUAACGGUGGCUGCCACUUCACCGCGUCGUGAGCAGUAAUGGACGAGGAAAGCGGCGACAACACCAGGCCCACAUCACCACGACGAAAUCGAACACGAAAGACCUACUUGACUACUCCACUACCACCACGAUUCGACUACUUAAAUAUGUCUACUCCCCCCUCCUUCUCUUCCCUUGCGACGUCAAAUCCACGUCGAUAGGACUGUCCAACCGUUCCCUGUCUCGGUACUCGAGUUUCGUACGUUACGACAUUCACGUUCCCGUCCGUCACACUAGAACUAAUCUAAAGAGACCCCGAUAGACAAACGGUGAACAACGGCCCCUGCUAUAAUCGUCCAGAGAACAGAACCCACACGAACCUCUGUAGUGUCAUACGAGGGUAUGAGUGGACAAAAUCACCGUUUCUAAUCCGUACGUGCUUAAUUCCAGGUUAAGAUAAACACUCCAUGUGUGAUUAUUAAUACUCACGAACUACUAACCUAGGAUAACUUUACUUUAUACAUCUCACCGGGGACUCUACCUCUAUAGAUCAGACUGUCAACCAGUACGGCCAGUACUGUCUAAUAACUACUUCUUGGUCUAUUCUAGAGUAGUCGCCGGGUUUUGAUGUAUGAGGGAGGCAGGCCUUUAUGAACAGGAACCUUACCUAAUGUUUAUUGACUACAGAUAGUAGUUCACGAUCUGGUGUAGAGUCAACUUUGAACUCUACUGGUAGAUAUAAAAACAGGAUACAUCUUCGUAUCCAAAACAUUCUUUUUACUACAAUUUCGCAUCCCCGUUAAGUCUUGACGACAGCUGCACAAAAAGUACACUUGAAGAUACUAAAUAAUAUUCUUUCAUUUUUGUGUUCUCUUUCCUUCUUCAAACCUGAUUGUUCUAACUAGUAUUAGACACCCUCUAAUAUUAGUAAGAACGGAGGUACGGUAAAACCCGAUUAAUCAUGAGGUAAUAAAAAAUAAGAAAAGAUC
RNAcentral lists this ribosomal RNA (4687 nucleotides) under Triticum aestivum (bread wheat). Its description in RNAcentral is "partial small subunit ribosomal RNA". The record is from RNAcentral. Lineage: Eukaryota; Viridiplantae; Streptophyta; Magnoliopsida; Poales; Poaceae.